RNAcentral lists this ribosomal RNA (398 nucleotides) under uncultured bacterium. RNAcentral's name for it is "bacterial SSU rRNA". It matches the Rfam family "Bacterial small subunit ribosomal RNA", at positions 28 to 411 of the family's 1533-position model. The record is from RNAcentral.
GACGAACGCUGGCGGCGUGCUUAACACAUGCAAGUCGAACGAGGUCCACCGCGUAGCAAUACAAGGGAAGACCUAGUGGCGAACGGGUGCGUAACACGUGAGGAACUUGUCCCGGUCUCUGGGAUAACAGUUGGAAACGACUGCUAAUACCAGAUGACGUCGGAAUCUCGCAUGGGAUACUGACGAAAGGGUUACUGGAUCGGGAGAGCCUCGCGGCCUAUCAGCUUGUUGGUGAGGUAACGGCUCACCAAGGCGUCGACGGGUAGCUGGUCUGAGAGGAUGAUCAGCCACACUGGGACUGAGACACGGCCCAGACUCCUACGGGAGGCAGCAGUGGGGAAGUCUUGCGCAAUAGGGCGGAAAGACCUCGACGCAGCAACGACCGCCGUGCGGGAAGG